CACCCACUUCCCACACGCAACAAUAGCUCAUGGGUACCACAGAUAACUUUGCCAAAGUUCUCUGCCAAAGUUGAGCACGUGAAGCUUGCAGCUCCCACUACAUCGCUCUGACCAAGAAGGGUAAAAGAAUAGCAAAGAAACAGCACUAACAAAGUUUAGACCCAUAAAUUUUGAAGGUCUAGCUACCAUAUUAUUACCCACAAGGGUAAAGGAACAGUACCACUGCUGGAUAAUUGGAAAGUCCCUGUGUGUUAACCUCUGUGCUUCGUGGCAAGGUAGACUAGCAAACAUGCCCAACCUUUACUCACAUUCGAGAAAACACUCCCAAUAAGAUUGCUUGCUCCAAAAUCGAAGAGGCACCGUCCUCCGAAUCUCGAGAGCCAGACUCCCAACAUGACUACUUUCUUAAAAAAUCGAAGAGAGGGUAAAGGAACAGUACCAUUGCUGGAUAAUUGGAAAGUUCCUGUGUGUCAACCUCUGUGCUUCGUGGCAAGGUAGACUAGCAAACAUGCCCAACCUUUACUCACAUUCGAGAAAACACUCCCAACAAGAUUGCUUGCUCCAAAAUCGAAGAGGCACUGCCCUCCGAAUCUCGAGAGCCAGACUCCCAACAUGAUUACUUUCUCAAAAAUCGAAGAGACACUGCUCCCCGAAUCUCGAGAGCCAGACCCCCAGCAUGAUUGCUUUCUCAAAAAUCGAUGAGGCAUCGUUCUCCGAAUCAAUCGAAGAGGCGCUCGCUUUCUCAAAAGCUGGGCUGCUCAGAGACCACGAGGGCCGAUCUCAGAAAUCGAAGAGGCACCUACUUUUCUAGCCUUGUCAGCACCUGUCACACGCGCACACUCAGCUUUGCAGAAAUUAUGGGCAUUCUGUCGAAGACUUCUGGUGAAGUAGAAAGCACAUGAAUCUUACUGUUCAAUCACCCACUUCCCAACACGCUCAACCAACAAAUAGCUCAUGGGUACCACAUAAUUGCCAAAGUUCUCUGCCAAAGUUGAGCACGUGAAGCUUGCAGCUCCCACUACAUCGCUCUGACCAAGAAAGGUAAAAGAAUAGCAAAGAAACAGCACUAACACAAAGUUUAGACACAUAAAUUUUGAAGGUCUAGCUACCAUAUUAUUACCCACAACUGUAAAGGAACAGUACCACUGCUGGAUAAUUGGAAAGUCCCUGUGUGUCAACCUCUGUGCUUCGUGGCAAGGUAGACUAGCAAACAUGCCCAACCUUUACUCACAUUCGAGAAAACACUCCCAAUAAGAUUGCUUGCUCCAAAAUCGAAGAGGCACCGUCCUCCGAAUCUCGAGAGCCAGACUCCCAACAUGACUACUUUCUCAAAAUCGAAGAGAGGGUAAAGGAACAGUACCAUUGCUGGAUAAUUGGAAAGUCCAUGUGUGUCAACCUUUGUGCUUCGUGGCAAGGUAGACUAGCAAACAUGCCCAACCUUUACUCACAUUCGAGACAACACUCCCAACAAGAUUGCUUGCUCCAAAAUCGAAGAGGCACCGCCCUCCGAAUCUCGAGAGCCAGACUCCCAAAAUGAUUACUUCCUCAAAAAUCGAAGAGACACUGCUCUCCGAAUCUCGAGAGUCAUACCCCCAGCAUGAUUGCUUUCUCAAAAAUCGAAGAGGCAUCGUUCUCCGAAUCUCGAGAGCC
RNAcentral lists this long non-coding RNA (1650 nucleotides) under Malus domestica (apple). Its description in RNAcentral is "long non-coding RNA (MDOM_LNC017294)". Lineage: Eukaryota; Viridiplantae; Streptophyta; Magnoliopsida; Rosales; Rosaceae. The record is from RNAcentral.